GCUGUGAAGAUGCAGUGUACCCGCGGCAAGACGGAAAGACCCCGUGAACCUUUACUAUAGCUUGACACUGAACAUUGAGCCUUGAUGUGUAGGAUAGGUGGGAGGCUUUGAAGUGUGGACGCCAGUCUGCAUGGAGCCGACCUUGAAAUACCACCCUUUAAUGUUUGAUGUUCUAACGUGGACCCGUAAUCCGGGUUGCGGACAGUGUCUGGUGGGUAGUUUGACUGGGGCGGUCUCCUCCUAAAGAGUAACGGAGGAGCACGAAGGUUGGCUAAUCCUGGUCGGACAUCAGGAGGUUAGUGCAAUGGCAUAAGCCAGCUUGACUGCGAGCGUGACGGCGCGAGCAGGUGCGAAAGCAGGUCAUAGUGAUCCGGUGGUUCUGAAUGGAAGGGCCAUCGCUCAACGGAUAAAAGGUACUCCGGGGAUAACAGGCUGAUACCGCCCAAGAGUUCAUAUCGACGGCGGUGUUUGGCACCUCGAUGUCGGCUCAUCACAUCCUGGGGCUGAAGUAGGUCCCAAGGGUAUGGCUGUUCGCCAUUUAAAGUGGUACGCGAGCUGGGUUUAGAACGUCGUGAGACAGUUCGGUCCCUAUCUGCCGUGGGCGCUGGAGAACUGAGGGGGGCUGCUCCUAGUACGAGAGGACCGGAGUGGACGCAUCACUGGUGUUCGGGUUGUCAUGCCAAUGGCACUGCCCGGUAGCUAAAUGCGGAAGAGAUAAGUGCUGAAAGCAUCUAAGCACGAAACUUGCCCCGA
RNAcentral lists this ribosomal RNA (753 nucleotides) under Salmonella enterica subsp. enterica serovar Typhimurium. Its description in RNAcentral is "partial 23S ribosomal RNA". It matches the Rfam family "Bacterial large subunit ribosomal RNA", at positions 2050 to 2802 of the family's 2925-position model. Lineage: Bacteria; Pseudomonadati; Pseudomonadota; Gammaproteobacteria; Enterobacterales; Enterobacteriaceae. The record is from RNAcentral.